RNAcentral lists this ribosomal RNA (348 nucleotides) under uncultured bacterium. RNAcentral's name for it is "bacterial SSU rRNA". It matches the Rfam family "Bacterial small subunit ribosomal RNA", at positions 917 to 1267 of the family's 1533-position model. The record is from RNAcentral.
GGGCCCGCACAAGCGGUGGAGUAUGUGGUUUAAUUCGAUGCAACGCGAAGAACCUUACCAGGGUUUGACAUCCUGCGAAUCUCUGGAAACAAGAGAGUGCCUUCGGGAACGCAGUGACAGGUGGUGCAUGGCUGUCGUCAGCUCGUGUCGUGAGAUGUUGGGUUAAGUCCCGCAACGAGCGCAACCCACGUCUUUAGUUGCCAGCAUUUAGUUGGGCACUCUAGAGAGACUGCCGGUGAUAAACCGGAGGAAGGUGUGGAUGACGUCAAGUCAUCAUGCCCCUUACAUCCUGGGCUACACACGUACUACAAUGGCCGGUACAGAGGGCAGCGAUACCGCAAGGUGGAG